UCAGGAACCCUUGGAUCUGCUGCAUGUACCUGAGGAGAUCUAUGACAGAUCCGGACUCUUUGAAGGCAACAAACACCGAUCCACUACCUAGAUCUGUGAUGGGGCACCUCCAUCCUAGGGCUUGAGGGAGGCACCCCACUUUCUUUAGGGAUUCUUCAAGGAACCUAGGGCGACAACACUAGAAAAAGAGAGAAGAGAGAU
Molecule: long non-coding RNA, 201 nt
Filed under: Elaeis guineensis (African oil palm)
Lineage: Eukaryota; Viridiplantae; Streptophyta; Magnoliopsida; Arecales; Arecaceae
Description: long non-coding RNA (EGUI_LNC070453)
Source: RNAcentral